This 238-nucleotide long non-coding RNA is filed under the name Daucus carota (carrot). RNAcentral describes it as "long non-coding RNA (DCAR_LNC007365)". The record is from RNAcentral. Lineage: Eukaryota; Viridiplantae; Streptophyta; Magnoliopsida; Apiales; Apiaceae.
CGAGAACGAGCUGAAAACGAAGAAACAGGCUGCCAGUGGCAGAAAGUAGCGCCCCCGCGCUAACUCUUAGCGCGCCCGCGCUAGUCCAAAGUCAGAAAGUAGCGCCCCCGCGCUAGUUCUUAGCGCGCCCGCGCUACAUUAAAGCCAACUAGCGCGCCUGCGCUAGUUUAGCGCGGCCGCGCCCAGCAGAAGUGCCCCGGGCCGAUUUUUGAAGCUUUUCUGAUGGAUUUUCGCAGCA